AGGGAAGCCGGUACAAAAGUGGACAAAAUCUGAGUGGUUUGAAAGAAUGACAGCAGGCCCCAGAUUCUCUUCAGAGCCAAGGCCUUGGCUCCUACUAGAAAUAUUAAUAGAAGAGUUGGAGAAUCUAAAGCAGUAUAUCCCUGUAACAGAACUGAUCUCAGAUAGUAAUGGGUAAACAAUUAACUUUUCCCCAAAAGAGGUUUGGCCUUUGUCCAGUGAAGUAAUUUUUAAGCCUGUCGACUGUCCUGCCUCAGAUGUGUAUCUGUUUAUCUAGAAGCUUUAUGUGCCAAACCAGAUCAUACGUGCCAAUGAUUUAUGAUAAAGAUCCAUGUACAAAGUGUUAUCACUGUGGCUGAUGGAAAGGGUGGAGACUAAGAUCAGCCAAGUGGGAAACCAGUCAUUCCCACAUGAUUGAGCCCCAUAAAAUGCCAGUCAACAAGACUCAGGUUAAGAUCACAGGUUAAGAUUUGAAUAUAUGUGAUGAAAUGAUUUCCUCAUCAAUCUUUUUGUAAUCCCAGUGAUAUAUCUUCUUCACCUUCAAGGAAAGACAAUGCCACCAGCAUUGGGGACAGGCAGUAGAUAGACAACCUCCAGCCAAGAGUACUUCCAGAGUUGGUUUCAGCCACAGAGUGCUGCCUCUGUCCUCUCUCUCCCAUGGGGAGCCUAAUCUUCAAAUCAUCUGUACCCAGUGAUGAGCAAAGGCAUCGGGAUAAGAGUACCAAGGUACAGUUUCAUGAGACACUUAGAUGAUUUCCUUCUUAGAGCUUCUCAUGGCCAAAGCCUUAAUUUGCCAUCACUGUAGCACAGCUUUUCUUCUGCCCAUCAAUAAUCAAAGGUUGAUGCCCAC
Molecule: long non-coding RNA, 847 nt
Organism: Perognathus longimembris pacificus (Pacific pocket mouse)
Lineage: Eukaryota; Metazoa; Chordata; Mammalia; Rodentia; Heteromyidae
Exons: 3
Source: RefSeq, a predicted model, not a curated record